This 492-nucleotide ribosomal RNA is filed under the name uncultured bacterium. RNAcentral describes it as "partial 16S ribosomal RNA". It matches the Rfam family "Bacterial small subunit ribosomal RNA", at positions 29 to 507 of the family's 1533-position model. The record is from RNAcentral.
AGUGAACGCUGGCGGUAGGCCUAAUACAUGCAAGUCGAACGGCCGCACAGUAAGAUUUUGCUUCUAAGGGUGGCGACGGGCGGACGGGUGAGGCAUACAUAGCAUACUUAUUUUUCUUGGGGGACAUCGUAGGGCCAGAUCCGCUACUGCCGAAUAUGUUCAACGGGUUGAUGCAGGGGAUCUUCGGAGCUUGCGUGUUUGAAUGAGCUGGUGUCGGAUUAGCUAGUUGGCUGGGUAAAGGCCCACCAAGGCGACGAUACGUAGCUGGUCUGAGAGGAUGAUCAGCCACACCGGAACUGAGACACGGUCCAGACUCCUACGGGAGGCAGCAGUGGGGAAUAUUGGACAAUGGGCGAAAGCCUGAUCCAGCCAUGCCGCGUGAGUGAUGAAGGCCUUCGGGUUGUAAAGCCCUGUUGUUAGGAAAGAAAAACAGCGGAUGAAUACCCCGCUGUUCUGACGGUACCCAAUGAAUAAGCACCGGCUAACUACGUG